UGAGAACAUGCAGUGUUUUAUUUUCUGUUCCUGUAUUAGUUUGCUGAGAAUGAUGGUUUCCAGCUUCAUCCAUGUCCCUGCAAAGGACAUGAACUCAUCCUUUUUUAUGGCUGCAUAGUAUUCCAUGGUGUAUCCUUAUGUCUUUUUGACAGCUAAGAAGGACCAGCUCCAGCUCAGUACAUGGAGAACUGGACACACACAGCCGACCAAGCAUGGCUACUUCAGAAUAAAAUUAACACUGAGUUACAAACUGAAGUGGUGUUAUGGGAAGUCAGGGACCCCGAAGAGAGGGACCAGCUGGAGCCACAGCAGAGGAACGUAAAUUGUGAAGAUUUCAUCUUAAUACGGAUAUUUAUCAGUUCUCAAAUAAUACUUUUACAAUUUCUUAUGCCUGUCUUUAAUCUCUUAAUCCUGUUACCUUCGUAAGCUGAGGAUGUGCAUCACCUCAGGACCACUGUUAUAAUUGUGUUAACUGUACAAAUUGAUUGUAAAACGUGUGUUUGAACAAUAUGAAAUCAGUGCACCUUGAAAAAGAACAGAAUAACGGUGAUUUUUAUGGAACAAGGGAAGACAACCAUAAGGUCUGACUGCCUGCAGGGUCGGGCAAAAAGAGCCAUAUUUUUCUUUUUGCAGAGAGCCUAUAAAUGGAUGUGCAAGUAGGAAACAUAUCGCUAAAUUCUUUUCCUAGCAAGGAAUAUUAAUAUUAAUACCCUCGGAAAAGAAUGCAUUCCUGAGGGGAGGUCUAUAAAUGGCCGCUCUGGGAAUGUCUGUCUUGUGCAGUUGAGAUAAGGACUGAGAUACGCCCUGGUCUCCUGCAGAACCCUCAGGCUUACUAGAGUGGGGAAAAACUCUGCUGUAGUAAAUUUUUGGUCAGACCAGUUUUCUGCUCUCAAACCCUGUUUUCUGUUAAGAUGUUUAUCAAGACAAUACGUGCACCACUGAACAUAGACCCUUAUCAGGAGUUUAUGAUUUUUCUCCUGUCCUGUUUCCUCAGGAGCAUGUGAUCUUUGUUCUCCUUUUUGCCCUUUGAAGCAUGUGAUCUUUGUGACCUACUCCCUGUUCUUACACCCCCUCCCCUUUUGAAAUCCUUAAUAAAAACCUGCUGGUUUUGCGGCUCAGGUGGGCAUCACGGUCCUACCAAUAUGUGAUGUCACCCCUGGAGGCCCAGCUGUAAAAUUCCUCUCUUUGUACUCUUUCUCUUUAUUUCUCAGCCAGCCGACACUUAUGGAAAAUAGAACGAACCUACGUGAAAUAUUGGGGGUGGGUUCCCCCGAUAUGUGAUGUCACCCCUGGUGGCCCAGCUGUAAAAUUCCUCUCUUUGUACUGUCUCUCUUUAUUUCUCAGCUGGCCAACACUUAUGGAAAAUAGAAGGAACCUAUGUUGAAAUACUGAGGGUGGGUUCUCCCAAUAAAGUGGUAAUGUUGAAAUCCACAGUUCUAUGGUUAGGGGAAAAGCACAAAGCUUGAUUGCAUUGUCAUUUUAAUCACACUCAUAUUUGUGUAACCAACUUAGAAUAUAACCAAAGUGAGUAUCUGUGGGACGUUGUGAAAGCCCAUUUGCAGGGAGCUUUCACAUCUAACAUCACCUUUG
Molecule: long non-coding RNA, 1590 nt
Filed under: Homo sapiens (human)
Lineage: Eukaryota; Metazoa; Chordata; Mammalia; Primates; Hominidae
Description: HSALNT0053995
Source: RNAcentral